RNAcentral lists this ribosomal RNA (498 nucleotides) under uncultured bacterium. Its description in RNAcentral is "partial 16S ribosomal RNA". It matches the Rfam family "Bacterial small subunit ribosomal RNA", at positions 30 to 523 of the family's 1533-position model. The record is from RNAcentral.
AUUGAAGGCUGGCGGCAGGCCUAACACAUGCAAGUCGAGCGGUUGAGGUAGCUUGCUACCGAUGCAGCGGCGGACGGGUGAGUAAUACAUGGGAAUCUGCCUGGUAGUGGGGGACAACGUUUCGAAAGGAACGCUAAUACCGCAUACGCCCUACGGGGGAAAGGGGGGGAUCUUCGGACCUCUCGCUAUCAGAUGAGCCCAUGUCGGAUUAGCUAGUUGGUGAGGUAAAGGCCCACCAAGGCGACGAUCCGUAACUGGUCUGAGAGGAUGAUCAGUCACACUGGAACUGAGACACGGUCCAGACUCCUACGGGAGGCAGCAGUGGGGAAUAUUGGACAAUGGGCGCAAGCCUGAUCCGGCCAUGCCGCGUGUGUGAAGAGGGCCUUAGGGUUGUAAAGCACUUUCAGUGGGGAGAAAGGUCAUUCACCUAAUACGUGAGUGAAUUGAUGUUACCCACAGAAGAAGCACCGGCUAACUCCGUGCCAGCAGCCGCCGUAA